Molecule: unclassified non-coding RNA, 313 nt
Filed under: Hevea brasiliensis (rubber tree)
Lineage: Eukaryota; Viridiplantae; Streptophyta; Magnoliopsida; Malpighiales; Euphorbiaceae
Source: RNAcentral
GGAUAAUGAAGCAUCAGCAAUCAGGUUGUCAGCAAUGAUUCAUUCUUAGGUUAUAUGUGUUUACAGGGGUGAUAUAAAGUUGUGAUAUAUAUUAGAAGGAUCAUUUUCAGAGUAUGAAUUUGUAAUCCCAAUAGAACAAUAUUGAGGGUGAAAAAAAUUCAAAAGAUAUUGUACUAAAACCAACUCAACUCGCCUAAGCUUAAUUGCAUCCUACUCAACCUUACUGAAAAGCAUAGGAACAAUUUCUUACCUAGUAAACUUGCAUUUAUUUUUUGCACUCUUACUAAUUGAUGUUAUAUUACUUCCAGGGAUG